GACGAACGCUGGCGGCGUGCUUAACACAUGCAAGUCGAACGGAAAGGCCCUGCUUUUGUGGGGUGCUCGAGUGGCGAACGGGUGAGUAACACGUGAGUAACCUGCCCUUGACUUUGGGAUAACUUCAGGAAACUGGGGCUAAUACCGGAUAGGAGCUCCUGCUGCAUGGUGGGGGUUGGAAAGUUUCGGCGGUUGGGGAUGGACUCGCGGCUUAUCAGCUUGUUGGUGGGGUAGUGGCUUACCAAGGCUUUGACGGGUAGCCGGCCUGAGAGGGUGACCGGCCACAUUGGGACUGCGGUACGGCCCAGACUCCUACGGGGGGCAGCAGUGGGGAAUAUUGCACAGUGGGCGGAAGCCUGAUGCAGCAACGCCGCGUGCGGGAUGACGGCCUUCGGGUUGUAAACCGCUUUCGCCUGUGACGAAGCGUGAGUGACGGUAAUGGGUAAAGAAGCACCGGCUAACUACGUG
This 468-nucleotide ribosomal RNA is filed under the name uncultured bacterium. RNAcentral's name for it is "partial 16S ribosomal RNA". It matches the Rfam family "Bacterial small subunit ribosomal RNA", at positions 28 to 507 of the family's 1533-position model. The record is from RNAcentral.